GCCCUCGUAGCCCAAUGGUAGGGCGUCAGACUUCUAUUUUCAGAUGUUGGAAAAAGUAAAUCUGAAGGCUGCGGGUUCGAGUCCCGCCGGGGGUA
Molecule: transfer RNA, 95 nt
Rfam family: tRNA
About the family: Transfer RNA (tRNA) molecules are approximately 80 nucleotides in length.
Source: Rfam